UACGUAGGGUGCGAGCGUUAAUCGGAAUUACUGGGCGUAAAGUGUGCGCAGGCGGCCGAGCAAGUCGAGUGUGAAAGCCCCGAGCUUAACUUGGGAACUGCGCUCGAAACUACUUGGCUAGAGUGUGGCAGAGGGAGGUGGAAUUCCACGUGUAGCGGUGAAAUGCGUAGAGAUGUGGAGGAACACCGAUGGCGAAGUCAGCCUCCUGGGCCAACACUGACGCUCAUGCACGAAAGCGUGGGGAGCAAACAGG
This 253-nucleotide ribosomal RNA is filed under the name uncultured bacterium. Its description in RNAcentral is "partial 16S ribosomal RNA". It matches the Rfam family "Bacterial small subunit ribosomal RNA", at positions 524 to 776 of the family's 1533-position model. The record is from RNAcentral.